This 235-nucleotide long non-coding RNA is filed under the name Lathyrus oleraceus (garden pea). RNAcentral's name for it is "Pisum sativum (pea) long non-coding RNA (PSAT_LNC034352)". Lineage: Eukaryota; Viridiplantae; Streptophyta; Magnoliopsida; Fabales; Fabaceae. The record is from RNAcentral.
UUUGAUCAAUUUUCACUUGCUGUUUUGAAUUUUUCAUCUCCUUUGGACCCUAGGCUUGUCCUAGUGGUCUUGUUUCUCACGUUUGAAUUGUGUUUCAGGUUAAGAAGCAAAUGCUUUAAGGAGAAUAAUGCAAGUUGAUUGAGUUUGGUUAAUUGUUGUGAACUAACUUGUUUUAUUUUGUAGGAUGCUUGGCUCACUUGAGUUGAUUGUGCUUUGUACAUUGCAUUGUCUGAUU